AGCCAGUUGAUCAGUGCGCCGGCGCACAGCAACACCAUGCCGUAUCUGUACGGCCUCUGUGAUUGUCUGCCUUCGUCUGGAGACAUGCCUGCAAUGAAACAGAAAUAUUGUGUUGUAGUAUAGCUCACAGCGAAGAUCAUGGGUCAAUGUUGGAGGUGAGCCAUCAAUACAGUGAUCCCUUGCAUUUGGGUCAAGAUCACCAUGUGCGGUCGAGUGUCGUUGGCUCAGCGCUGUCUCGCGUACCAUCAUCUAUCGAGUUAUUUUAUCCUCAUGGCCCAAAAAUGUGAAUAUUUGAGGUUUAAUAAUAA
This is a long non-coding RNA of Manduca sexta (tobacco hornworm), 308 nucleotides long. RefSeq lists it as uncharacterized. NCBI's taxonomy places the organism in Eukaryota, Metazoa, Arthropoda, Insecta, Lepidoptera, Sphingidae. The record is from RefSeq and is a predicted model, not a curated record. The transcript is spliced from 2 exons.